This 607-nucleotide ribosomal RNA is filed under the name uncultured Microsporidium. RNAcentral describes it as "bacterial SSU rRNA". It matches the Rfam family "Microsporidia small subunit ribosomal RNA", at positions 19 to 661 of the family's 1311-position model. The record is from RNAcentral. Lineage: Eukaryota; Fungi; Microsporidia.
UGACGUGGAUGCUAGUUCCUGAGGUUAAGCCAUGCAUGUUUAUGGAACAAGGACGAACAGCUCAGUAAAACUGCGAUGAUUUAGUCUGUGUGUUUUGAUAACCACGUGAAAAUGUGGCUAAGAGAGCACAGAAUAAGACGCAGGACUAUCGGUUAGUUGGUAGUGUAAUGGACUACCAAGACGAUGACGGUUGACGGGGAAUCAGGGUUCUAUACCGGAGAGGGAGCCUGAGAGAUUGCUCCCACGUCCAAGGACGGCAGCAGGCGCGAAAAUUGCCCACUGUUUGUAGGAGGCAGUUAUGAGACGUGAAAAUGAAUGCUUGGCAAAGAGAAGCAGGAGAAUUGGAGGGCAAGUUUGGUGCCAGCAGCCGCGGUAAUACCGACUCCAAGAGUGUGUAUGAGAGAUGCUGCAGUUAAAAAGUCCGUAGUCGUAGGUAGUGAAAGAGAGGCGGAGCCUCGUGCGUUUGUUUUGGAGGAGCCAAUGGGGAACACAGUAUACCAGGGCGAGAGAUGAAAUGUCAAGACCCCUGGUGGACUAGGCGAGGCGAAAGCGGUGUUCUUGUGGGUGUUCGGUGAUCAAGGACGAAGGCUGGAGGAUCGAAAGUGAU